Long non-coding RNA from Pecten maximus, 1083 nucleotides. RefSeq lists it as uncharacterized. NCBI's taxonomy places the organism in Eukaryota, Metazoa, Mollusca, Bivalvia, Pectinida, Pectinidae. The transcript has 3 exons. The record is from RefSeq and is a predicted model, not a curated record.
UUAAUGGUGUUUUCCGUAGAUAUUGUGACUGUUGCAUAACAACGGAAUACCUGGUAGACUCGAUAUGACGGCGUGACUGCUAAUUUAAAAUCAAGACGUGUUCGAACGAAUAUUUUCAGACAGCUUUAUAAAGGAAGACGGAAGUUCUAGAUAACAGAUCUGGUGAGGAGGUUUCAGCGUUAUCAUCGUGACGAAUCUACGGAUAAAGAUGCAGUUUCAAAUUCCAUUGGCCGUCCUUUUAAUCCUAGGAAUGACAUUAUGCCUACAGAAUGUCGAGGGUGGAGCAACGGUCACCAACACCAACCCAACCACUACGGCUGGAAAUGAUACAACUACACAUAAAUCGGGAGCAGUUUCACUCUUAUCCUCGUCACUCGUCUGUGCCAUAUCCCUAGUUCUUGGAUACCACUUAAUGGAUUAACAGGGAAUGAAAUAAAGAAACAAGAAGACCAGCGAGCACCAAGACUUGACGUAGUCCUCCAUUUUUAAGGAUAUUGAUAUGAAAUAAAAACACAUAUUCGGCAAUCAUCGAAUUUCAUACGAUUUUUAAAAAUUAAGCAGAAACAUAUUACAUGGAGAGACGAAAGAGACCAGCAUUUGACGUUGACUUCCAAUGUGUAGGAUGUGGGAAUGAUAACAAAAGAAACAAAAAUAUCGGAAAUGAUGAGAUUGGAAAAACAUUUUUUAGAAGCCUUUUAUACAGAACUGAUAAAAUAAAGUACUAAUACAUACUUUUUUAAAUUGGAUAAUCAGUUUACAAUUGUAAAAGAAACUUUGGCGCAUUAAUAAAUUAUUUACUGACGGUUUGGUGCAUUUGUGAUAAAACUUAAUCGAUAUUUCACUUUUUAACUAUGUGAGGUCAUGUAACCUAAAGGAUGUCACGUGAUUGUACACGUGACGAAUGACUUUAAGGAUACACAUUCGAAACAGUGACUGGAUCAUUUGUGCGUGAUUUUGAGAGGGUGCGUUGUCGACAUAUGCCCAUGAUGAACUGGCCAAAAUGAUUUUUUGUCAUCCAUAGCCUUUUCGGAUUAUCCAUAUGUCGCAAAUGUGUGUUUAUAUUUAUUAAAAGAAAUGUUUUAU